RNAcentral lists this ribosomal RNA (254 nucleotides) under uncultured bacterium. RNAcentral's name for it is "partial 16S ribosomal RNA". It matches the Rfam family "Bacterial small subunit ribosomal RNA", at positions 524 to 776 of the family's 1533-position model. The record is from RNAcentral.
UACGAAGGGGGCUAGCGUUGCUCGGAUUGACUGGGCGUAAAGGGCGCGUAGGCGGUCUGUACAGUCAGGCGUGAAAUUCCUGGGCUCAACCUGGGGGCUGCGUUUGAUACGUGCAGACUAGAGUGCGGAAGAGGGUCGUGGAAUUCCCAGUGUAGAGGUGAAAUUCGUAGAUAUUGGGAAGAACACCGGUGGCGAAGGCGGCGACCUGGUCCGAUACUGACGCUGAGGCGCGAAAGCGUGGGGAGGCAAACAGG